RNAcentral lists this unclassified non-coding RNA (251 nucleotides) under uncultured fungus. RNAcentral's name for it is "sequence contains ITS1, 5.8S rRNA gene". The stretch from base 203 to 251 matches the Rfam family "5.8S ribosomal RNA", at positions 1 to 49 of the family's 154-position model. Lineage: Eukaryota; Fungi. The record is from RNAcentral.
UUUCCGUAGGUGAACCUGCAGAAGGUUCAUUAGUGAAUUUAGGAUGACUAUUUUGUAGUAUCCGACCUCCACUUCUAACACUGUGCUUUUUUAUGGCAAGUGUGAUCAGUAGAGGUCGCUCUGGUGCUUUCGAACGUCGGCUUUUCCCAUUUUACCUUUAUAACUCUAAGUUAAAGAAUGUAAUUAACUCAUAACAAUGAUAAACUUUCAACAACUGAUCUCUUGGCUCUCGCAUCGAUGAAGAACGCAGC